Molecule: long non-coding RNA, 2761 nt
Organism: Ictalurus punctatus (channel catfish)
Lineage: Eukaryota; Metazoa; Chordata; Actinopteri; Siluriformes; Ictaluridae
Exons: 3
Source: RefSeq, a predicted model, not a curated record
UUAGCGUAGCCAGUAAACCUUACCGGCAUGUUUUUGGGAGAUGGGAGGAAAUCGGAGAACCCGGCGGAAACCCACAUGGACACAGGGAGCAUGUGAAACUCCACAUAGACAGUAAUCUGAGAUCAGGAUUGAACAGAUUUCAACAUUCCAGAGAAGACAGCUACUGAGCGGAACGCAUCUGAAUGACACUGCAGAAAUUCCUCUAGCACAACAUAGAAAAGAACCAGUCCAGUAAUGAUGUCUGUUUUGUAAUGUGGUUCGGGUCACAGGGGAGCCUGGAGCCUAUCUCAGGGAUCUCAGGGCACACGGCAGGGGACAGCCUGGAUAGGGUGCCAAUCCAUUGCAGGGAACAAAUGCACACAUGGUCUCACACUGCAAUCAAUUUAGAGAUGCCAAUCAGCCUACAACAGAUGUCUUUAGACCGGGGGGAGGAAACCGGAGUACCUGGAGCAAACCACCAACCCCAGAGGUGUUAGGCAAACCUGCUAACCACUAAGCCACGGUGGCCCCCAUAUAGAUUACAGUACAAUGAAAUUAUUUUUCUUUACAUAUCCCAGUUGUUAUAAAGCUGGAGUCAGACUGCAGGGACAGCCAUGAUACAGCAGUGGCAGCUUGAACCUCCAAAUUUCUGAUCAUUAACCCUGAGCCUUAACCACUCACCACUGUCACAACUGCUAUGCCUGAUGCACACAUAUCAAAUCAUCACCCACUAAGAUGCCACUACCCAAAAUGUUCAGUGGUCCUUUUGGUAUGGUGGCUCUUUUCCACCGAUUAUGCACCUACAAAGUGACUUACAGUGCUGUGAAAAAGUAUCUGAUUUCUUCUGGUUUUUGUAUCAUUUAAAAAAAACAAACUGUUUUUAAAUGAUAGUCAUUUAUUGAAGCAAAAAAGUCAUCCAACACCAACCACGCCUGUGUGAAAUCGACUGAGUUGAAAGUGGAACUAUUUGGAAGACAUGUCCCGUUACAUCUGGCAUAAACCAAACACAGAACUCCACAAAAAGAACAUCAUACCUACAGUCAGGCAUGGUGGUGGAGUGUGAUGGUGUGGGGAUGCUUUGAUGCUUCAGGGACUGGGCAACUUGCAGUAAUCGAGUGAAACAUGAAUUCUGCUCUCUACCAGAAAAUCCUAAGGGAGAAUGUCCGGUCUUCAGUCCAUAAAUUGAAACGCAAGCGCAAGUGGAUUAUGCAGCAAGACAAUGAUCCAAAGCACAAGUUAAUCUGAAGUUAUCAGAAGCAUUUGGUUGCAGUUAUUGCUGCUAAACAGUCUGCCUAAAGUACUGAAGGUUUUAAUGUCUAAAACCUUGCUAGUUCAGUGUGAUUUCCUCACAAUUCACAUAGUGUUAACAUAAUCCAAAUAAGAUUUCAUGAGAAUGCGGGUGGGAAGAAAUAACUAUAGUAUUAAAUUAACCUGAUUAAUGCAUAUGCAAUAUGAUAGUGAAGCGAGUAACGUCACUGCUUUACAAAACCAGUGGCCUGAGUCUGAUCCUGAGCUCUGGUGAGGGCAGGGGGUUUGAUUUUAUUCAAGGUUUUAAAAACACAUCGUCACAUCAUGUUGGAUGUACAAAAACAAAUCGGGUUAACGUAACUCAGGUCCUCCACGUGGAACCAAUGUAGACAUUUGAAUUACGUAAAUUCAGUGAGCUUUUUCCCCCAAUGUGGAUACGGACCUAAUCAGUCCAUGUCCGCAACGCUCGCGAAGCCCUCACGUCAUCAUCAAAACAGGGAAGAGUGCUUACAAAUUCUGUACAGAUGAGAGCAGAUGAAGUUUUUAAAAGGUUUUAAUGGCCUAAUAAAAAGACAUUAAUUAGAGGAAAUUUAGCCAACAGAACAGAACUCAUUGCAUUACUCAGUGAUUAUUUCACCACCGGUGUUAGCAUGAGCCGAGAUCAGUGGAAUAACGAGACCUCAAGGCUCAUGUUUAAAGAUUGAUGUCGCAGUAAAUGACAGUGUUGUUGUUUUCCCAUAAGUAGAUUAGGUUAUAAAUGUAUAAAUAAAAUAGGCGAGAUGUAUUUCAGUGGAAUUGGAAUGAAAUCUUUAAUUGUGAUUUUGUCCUUUUACAGUUUUGGGAGCUUUCAAAUGCUUUAACUGAGAUGAUUGUGAUACUGAAUCUGAAGAUUCAGGAAAGCCUGUAGAUUUUAGAGCUACAGUUCUGUGCAAAAGUCUUAGGUAGUCUGAUUUUUGUUUUUUUUUUUAGUACAAACUUUGUUAUAGAUUUUUAUCUUCUAAAUUAUCGAGUCAGUACAAAAACAUGUCCGAUUUCCAAACAUUAGUUUUCCAGCACAAAAUUCACUGUUACAGAAAAAUGUUUGUAUGUCAGUAAAGAAAGCAGCGCAUUACAUAAGAGACCACUUUUCAGACACAAAACAUAAUGAAGGCUGCUGGGUUUCGCUUCAAAAAUAAGAAAUGCAACAGUCAAAGUCUCCAGAAGAACCGCGUCUGGUUCUGCAAGAUGCUCAGCAGCCUACUUACCAGUUCAUUUCCUCAUGAUACUGUGCAGAGUGUACCUGAGACUACUUUAAAAAAAAAAACAACAACACAAAUGCUAUUGACUUUGUUUUAUUUAUUACUGUUUACUCCUCUUUAUAGUAUUAUUGUAGAAUAGUAUUUUUUCCAUAGCAUUUUUUUCUUUAUAGUAUGUUUUAUUUAUUACUGUUUAUAGUAUUACUCUUUAUAGUAUAGUAUUUUUAUAGCAUUUUUUCUUUAUAGUAUGUUUUAUUUUUUACUGUUUACUGCUCUUUAUAGUUUUUUUUAUAGUAUAG